This 87-nucleotide transfer RNA is filed under the name Streptomyces parvulus. Its description in RNAcentral is "tRNA-Ile(gat)". Lineage: Bacteria; Bacillati; Actinomycetota; Actinomycetes; Kitasatosporales; Streptomycetaceae. The record is from RNAcentral.
GCGCCGGUAGCCCAUGAAGAGGCCGCCGCUGAUCGUGGCGCCGGACCGGGAGACGCCCGGGAUCAGGGCCGCCGCCUGGCAGACGCC